Molecule: ribosomal RNA, 496 nt
Filed under: uncultured bacterium
Lineage: Bacteria
Description: partial 16S ribosomal RNA
Rfam family: Bacterial small subunit ribosomal RNA
Source: RNAcentral
AUUGAACGCUGGCGGAAUGCUUUACACAUGCAAGUCGAACGGUAGAGGGGGCAACCCCUCGAGAGUGGCGAACGGGUGAGUAAUAUAUCGGAACGUGCCCAGUCGUGGGGGAUAACGUAGCGAAAGUUACGCUAAUACCGCAUACGAUCUAAGGAUGAAAGCGGGGGAUCGCAAGACCUCGCGCGAUUGGAGCGGCCGAUAGCAGAUUAGGUAGUUGGUGGGGUAAAGGCUCACCAAGCCAACGAUCUGUAGCUGGUCUGAGAGGACGACCGGCCACACUGGAACUGAGACACGGUCCAGACUCCUACGGGAGGCAGCAGUGGGGAAUUUUGGACAAGGGGCGCAAGUCUGAUCCAGCCAUUCCGCGUGCAGGAUGAAGGCCCUCGGGUUGUAAACUGCUUUUGUACGGAACGAAAAGGUCUCUCUUAAUACGGGGGACUCAUGACGGUACCGUAAGAAUAAGCACCGGCUAACUACGUGCCAGCAGCCGCCGUAA